GGUGGAACAAUACAGAGAAGAUUAGCAUGGCCCCUGUGCAAAGAUGACACACAAAAUUUGUGAAGCAUUCCAUAUAUAU
This 79-nucleotide small nuclear RNA is filed under the name Myotis brandtii (Brandt's bat). The record is from RNAcentral. Lineage: Eukaryota; Metazoa; Chordata; Mammalia; Chiroptera; Vespertilionidae.